RNAcentral lists this ribosomal RNA (244 nucleotides) under uncultured bacterium. Its description in RNAcentral is "partial small subunit ribosomal RNA". It matches the Rfam family "Bacterial small subunit ribosomal RNA", at positions 26 to 284 of the family's 1533-position model. The record is from RNAcentral.
AGAAUCAACGCUGGCGGCGUGCCUAACACAUGCAAGUCGCACGAGAAAGGGGCUUCGGCUCUGAGUAAAGUGGCGCACGGGUGAGUAACACGUGAAUUAUCUACCUCCGAGUGGGGAAUAACUGAGAGAAAUCUUAGCUAAUACCGCAUAACACUUACGAGUCAAAGCAGCAAUGCGCUUGGAGAGGAGUUCGCGGCCGAUUAGUUAGUUGGCGGGGUAAUGGCCCACCAAGACGAUGAUCGGU